Molecule: ribosomal RNA, 460 nt
Filed under: uncultured bacterium
Lineage: Bacteria
Description: partial 16S ribosomal RNA
Rfam family: Bacterial small subunit ribosomal RNA
Source: RNAcentral
CCUACGGGUGGCAGCAGUGAGGAAUAUUGGUCAAUGGGCGCGAGCCUGAACCAGCCAAGUAGCGUGAAGGAUGACUGCCCUACGGGUUGUAAACCUCUUUUAUAAAGGAAUAAAGUGCGGCACGUGUGCCUUUUUGUGUGUACUUUAUGAAUAAGCAUCGGCUAACUCCGUGCCAGCAGCCGCGGUAAUACGGAGGAUCCGAGCGUUAUCCGGAUUUAUUGGGUUUAAAGGGAGCGGAGAUGGGUUGUUAAGUCAGUUGGGAAAGUUUGCGGCUCAACCGUAAAAUUGCAAUUGAAACUGGCAGUCUUGAGUACAGGUGAGGUAGGCGGAAUUCGUGGUGUAGCGGUGAAAUGCUUAGAUAUCACGAAGAACUCCGAUUGCGAAGGCAGCUUACUAAACUGCCACUGACAUUGAUGCUCGAAAGUGUGGGUAUCAAACAGGAUUAGAUACCCGAGUAGUC